RNAcentral lists this long non-coding RNA (229 nucleotides) under Volvox carteri. RNAcentral's name for it is "long non-coding RNA (VCAR_LNC000209)". Lineage: Eukaryota; Viridiplantae; Chlorophyta; Chlorophyceae; Chlamydomonadales; Volvocaceae. The record is from RNAcentral.
CAAUACCGAGGCCUGCCACAGCCUGCCCUGCCCUGCUAAAGAAGAGCUAGCUGGGGAUGGGGCGGCAAGGCAAGCCCACCACAGCCGGCCACACCACGCAACCUGGCUGGCUCCAUCCCACAAGGAAACAGGAGGCCCCCACAUGAACCCGUGACAACACCCUAGCAACCACAACCGCUUGAAACCGGACCAGGACAAGGGACUUGCAAGGGUUUGCCGAGUGCGCCUG